This is a transfer RNA of Peptoclostridium acidaminophilum DSM 3953, 72 nucleotides long. It matches the Rfam family "tRNA". From Rfam's summary of the family: Transfer RNA (tRNA) molecules are approximately 80 nucleotides in length. Their secondary structure includes four short double-helical elements and three loops (D, anti-codon, and T loops). The record is from Rfam. Lineage: Bacteria; Bacillati; Bacillota; Clostridia; Peptostreptococcales; Peptoclostridiaceae.
GGCCCUAUGGUCAAGCGGUUAAGACACCGCCCUUUCACGGCGGUAACCCGGGUUCGAACCCCGGUAGGGUCA